Molecule: ribosomal RNA, 200 nt
Filed under: uncultured eukaryote
Lineage: Eukaryota
Description: partial 18S ribosomal RNA
Rfam family: Eukaryotic small subunit ribosomal RNA
Source: RNAcentral
CUCCAAUAGCGUAUAUUAAAGUUGUUGCCGUUAAAAAGCUCGUAGUUGGAUUUCUGUUGAGGUCGGCCGGUCCUACUUCGUAGGCGUAUCUGGUUCAGCUUGGCAUCCUCCUAGGGAACGGUACUGCUCUUAACUGAGUGGUCCGGUAUCUUAGGACUUUUACUUUGAGGAAUUAGAGUGUUUACGGCAGGCAAUCGCCU